ACAGAGAAGAGGACAGCAGCGUUAUUUCAUUGUAUUUGAUAGGUCUACAUGUUAAAGCGGCGCUCCGUGUCCGGGAGCCAGAUGACUCAGGCUCACUCCCUGCUGCAGGCCACGGCUUGUGCUUGUCUUUCAGAUCUCUUCUGCUGGCCUGCAGAUUAAUGGAUGUCAAUGAAAAAGCCAUAUCUAACCAGUAGGUGGCGCUGGUGUACAUGAUCCUGUGAUAUUAUUUCCAGCAGUAGGUGGCGCUGGUGUACAUGAUCCUGUGAUAUUAUUUGUGGCAGUAGGUGGCGCUGGUGUACAUGAUCCUGUGAUAUUAUUUCCAGCAGUAGGUGGCGCUGGUGUACAUGAUCCUGUGAUAUUAUUUCCAGCAGUAGGUGGUGCUGGUAUACAUGAUUCUGUGAUAUUAUUUCCAGCAGUAGGUGGCGCUGGUGUACAUGAUCCUGUGAUAUUAUUUGUGGCAGUAGGUGGUGCUGGUGUACAUGAUCCUGUGAUAUUAUUUCCAGCAGUAGGUGGCGCUGGUGUACAUGAUCCUGUGAUAUUAUUUCCAGCAGUAGGUGGCGCUGGUGUACAUAAUCCUGUGAUAUUAUAUCCAGCAGUAGGUGGCGCUGGUGUACAUGAU
This is a long non-coding RNA of Bufo bufo (common toad), 619 nucleotides long. RefSeq lists it as uncharacterized. Lineage: Eukaryota; Metazoa; Chordata; Amphibia; Anura; Bufonidae. The transcript is spliced from 3 exons. The record is from RefSeq and is a predicted model, not a curated record.